AAAUAUGGGUUACCUUGGCCACUAGAUUCGAAAUAAAAGAGUUACAAUUGAUCAAGAGAAUAUCUAAAUCAUCAUCCGUCGACCCAAACCAAUCACCCUCUAAGAUUACAAAGAUUUUUGAGGUUGAUUAGCUAUUACAGUAACUUUAUUGCAAACUAGAGUACACUUGUGUGGCUUCUCACCUAACAUGUGAAUGACACUUUCUCUUGGGGUGUUGAGGCAAAAACAAUAUUUGGGCACCGCAGGAUAACUUUAACGAUUACUUUGAUACUCACCCUACCCAAUUCACUAUUUAUUUCAAAUUAGAGGUCAAUGCUUCAAAUAGAGGUAUUGAUGUUGUGUUGUCACAAUAGUGCAAACUGAUCACAUAUUUUAGUGAGGCUCUCUCAUUGGUUGGAGACUCAAGAUAAUUUACA
This 416-nucleotide long non-coding RNA is filed under the name Spirodela polyrhiza (greater duckweed). Its description in RNAcentral is "long non-coding RNA (SPOL_LNC002151)". The record is from RNAcentral. Lineage: Eukaryota; Viridiplantae; Streptophyta; Magnoliopsida; Alismatales; Araceae.